This is a long non-coding RNA of Lycium barbarum (goji berry), 1680 nucleotides long. RefSeq lists it as uncharacterized. The record is from RefSeq and is a predicted model, not a curated record. The transcript has 5 exons. NCBI's taxonomy places the organism in Eukaryota, Viridiplantae, Streptophyta, Magnoliopsida, Solanales, Solanaceae.
AUGGGUCAAUCAAAUAUUUUUCUACUGAUUCGUGUUGCAUCAAUGCUUGUACUUUUUCUCAGGCUGCAUUCGUGCCUGCAUCAGAAGGUGCAACGGAUACUAGUUACUUCACAAGUCGUUUCUCUUGGAAUCCUUCAGAUGAACAAGUAUAUGCAGCCAGUGAAUAUGAGGAUUCUAGUGAUGAUGGCAGUGUUAGUGGUAGUAGUAGCUGUCUAGAUAAUCGCCAAGAUGAACAGGGUGAUCAAUAUGCUGGUAUUGUAGAAUUUGAGUCAGGCUCUUCUGUCAACUAUCCUUUCAAUAACUUCUCAUUUAAGAAUCUGUCUCAGCUUGCAUCAAUCAACUAUGAUUUGCUUACGAAAGGUUGGAAAGAUGAUCACUCGUCAAAUCCCAAUGUGUAGCUCCAGGAACCGUGCCUAUGAGAAUAUUCAAACUUUUGUUUCUUUGCUGGUAGAAUCAAACAGAACACCUGUCAAUCAUCUCCCUGUCUUUACACCUUGUAAAUAUAUAGAAGCAGCUUAAAGAUCAUGAUCGCGACUAGUGGGGAUGUGAUGUGUUUUCAUGAUACAGAGAAAUCUCAUGCUGUGAGGUUGUAUUGUAGCUUUCUCACUUAAAACUAAGUAUGGUCCACAUUUCGCUGUCAAUGUUCUGAAUAUAGUCAUUAUUUUGAAAUAGUUGUUCUUGAUAACAACUUUUGAGUCGAAGGUUGAUCGCAUUUAAGUUCUUUUAUAUCAAGUAUGGUUCCUCUGUUUGAUGCAAAAAGUGUUCAAAAAAUGCAAAGUCUCGCUGUUAAAAAUUCUUUAAGCUAAGUUGAAAAAUAAGUUAUUGAUAUGUAGUCGCUGGAGACUUAAUGCUGCUCAUACUGGAACAAGUAUUAAGUACUUCAAUGCUCAUUGUAUCUGCAUCUUUAAUUGGUUUCAAGUAGUGUUGCUACUGUUCUGUGCGUAGAAGAUAAAAUUGAAGGCCAGUUCAUGAUAGAGGAUUGGUUCCUUUCACUUUGUCAAGAUUUUUCAGUUUUUGGCAAUUAGGUAAUUCCAGGAUAUAGGAAUACUUAAUUUUAAGUGAGAAAGCUACAAUACAUCUUUUGUGCCAUGAAAUUUUUUAUUAAAUAGUUCAUCUUUACAAUACCUGGUUGCUUUUUUUUUUUUUUUUUGAAACUGAUAACUUCGAUACCUGCUUGCUUACUUUGCUGUUAUAACAUUUAAAGAAGAUAAGAAAUGGGUGGAAUUACUUCGAUUUAGUAAAUAUCUCAUGGAAAGGUGUGAGCUUUACUGUUUCCCGAAGUUAAUGUUAUGUUUAAUGUUGGAUUAUUCUGAUUUUCUUGUAUAAAAUGAGCUCUGGGUAACCAUUUGAGACUCGAUUUUUGCUGUCAAGAAUCUAUCAGAAAUCAGCUUUUCUUUGCUCUUAGAAUUUCUUUUUCUUUUGCUUCUCAUUUGUGUUCGUUUAUUCUUGUCAUAAACUCGUUAUCAACGGUGAAAGCUCGAAGCAUUCUCAACUCUCAAAUGCCUCAAUUCGUUGCUCGUCAAAAGGUGUCAAAAAUGAAGAAAGGGAAGGAGACAGUGAAGACGUUGAUCUUACUUGAGAAGAUCUUUUAUGAAGCUUUCUACAUGUUCUAAGAAUCUUUUUGCUAUCGAACAUUUUGAAACUUAUCCUAAAUCUUGAAAUGUAAAACUUAAUUAUGCA